AGCCUAGAACACGGGCAUACCAAUGACCACCAGGUUGAGGAGCUGCUUCCCGCCCUGCCGCUUCUCCAGCUCUGCCUUCACAUCUAUCUGCUGCCUCAGCUUGCUAGACUUUUUCACUGCUGUUGGAGUUGAACUCAGCUCUUCUGAUGCUUGAAUGGAGGGAGGUAGGAGGGCAGAUUUAUGAGUGCUGGUCCCAGGAACGUUAGGAGAAGCAAUGCUGCCAUUGUCACCAGGAGGUCCUCGGUGAAGAGCAGGCAGACUGUCUCCAUUUUCCUCAGAGGUUAAGCUACAGAAAGAAAGGGAGCUGAAGAUGCCCAAAGACGAUUGCCUCUUUUGGGAAAUCCCCGACUGUCUGGACGCUCAUGUUUAACCUCACCAAAUCUCUUCCUAAUUUUGAGCUGACUGUUGAGUUUCAGUAUUAAGAGUUAAGGUGGUUUCUGCACUGAGCCUUAUUCUGACAUUUUACCUAGAUCCUCUACCUACCUCUCUGACCACACCCUUUCACAAUACUAAAAUUGUCUGGUCAGUUAGCAGAUGGCUAAACUAUUUUGGAUCCCCUAAGAUUUAUCAACUGAUGAACAAGUUGAAAGUCUGAUGAA
This is a long non-coding RNA of Peromyscus eremicus (cactus mouse), 599 nucleotides long. RefSeq lists it as uncharacterized. NCBI's taxonomy places the organism in Eukaryota, Metazoa, Chordata, Mammalia, Rodentia, Cricetidae. The record is from RefSeq and is a predicted model, not a curated record. The transcript has 2 exons.